Molecule: long non-coding RNA, 615 nt
Organism: Mangifera indica (mango)
Lineage: Eukaryota; Viridiplantae; Streptophyta; Magnoliopsida; Sapindales; Anacardiaceae
Exons: 3
Source: RefSeq, a predicted model, not a curated record
UCAACCUUGAUGGAAAUAUUGGUUUGAGAAAUAUGGGGAAACUGGGAGUUGCUGGUUUCCGAUAAUGGAAAGGGGAAGUGAUGCAGGGGAGGCAAAUGUCUGAAAAUGGUUAUGAUUUGAACAUGAGUUGUGUAAUGUGAGGUGAGGUAAAUAGAAGUUGUAAAUCUUCAGAAUUUCAUAGUGGGAGAUCAUACUUUGCUGUUAUUUUGGACAAUGGAGAGAGUUUUCUUGGUGGAAUUACAGGUCCUUUAAUUGUCAUCGAGGAAGGGCAUGCCUCUUCAGCAAUGUGCAUAUUGAGCAAGUUAAUCAUUUGGAAGGUCAUAUGGCUUUUAUCUUUGCCCAGUUCAUUCUACCUAAACAAAGGAAAAUGCCAAGGGGCCCUCAUGUUUUCAUUGGGAAAAUCAUCCUCCAUUGUCCCAUGAUCUAAAUAAUGUAAAUCAUCUGUCAUCAAAAGUAGCUGCUGCUGAACGCUUUAAUUUGCCCAUCCAUAAGUAGAUAUAAAAAGGGAAAGAUAAAGCUAAUUUCCCAGGACCAUUUUCCCUCAUUCGUCUCUUUCUCAUCAACCAAACACAUGCACGGAAAAAAUACCCUUUUCCCUUCCCCCCCAUGUGCCUU